GCCUACGGGGGGCAGCAGUGGGGAAUAUUGCACAAUGGGGGAAACCCUGAUGCAGCAACGCCGCGUGAGUGAAGAAGUAUUUCGGUAUGUAAAGCUCUAUCAGCGGGGAAGAAAAUGACGGUACCUGAGUAAGAAGCCCCGGCUAACUACGUGCCAGCAGCCGCGGUAAUACGUAGGGGGCAAGCGUUAUCCGGAUUUACUGGGUGUAAAGGGAGCGUAGACGGCGAUGCAAGUCUGAAGUGAAAGCCCGGGGCCCAACCCCGGGACUGCUUUGGAAACUGUAUGGCUGGAGUGCUGGAGAGGCA
This 305-nucleotide ribosomal RNA is filed under the name uncultured bacterium. RNAcentral's name for it is "bacterial SSU rRNA". It matches the Rfam family "Bacterial small subunit ribosomal RNA", at positions 337 to 659 of the family's 1533-position model. The record is from RNAcentral.